RNAcentral lists this long non-coding RNA (309 nucleotides) under Setaria viridis. RNAcentral's name for it is "long non-coding RNA (SVIR_LNC009940)". The record is from RNAcentral. Lineage: Eukaryota; Viridiplantae; Streptophyta; Magnoliopsida; Poales; Poaceae.
GAUCAUCGGAUCUGGAACUCGAAGGUAAAAGCGAGGACAAAAGACACGGAUUUAUACAAGUUCGGGCUGCCAGAGUAGCGUAAUACCCUAUGUCAUGUUUGGGGUGUUGUAUAUUGAACCCUGCACUUGGGUAUUGUUGGUAUUGAGGAUUUGGUCCUCUGUUGUGGUUCUGCCGAUCUAGGUACCCUACCCUUUUUUAUAUACUCCAAGGGGUGGGAUUACUAGUCGGUUACAAGUUAGGAGUUACUAGUCGGUUACAAGUUAGGAGUCCUAGUAGGAUUACAUGGUAUGAGUCCUAGUAGGAUUACA